RNAcentral lists this ribosomal RNA (305 nucleotides) under uncultured bacterium. Its description in RNAcentral is "bacterial SSU rRNA". It matches the Rfam family "Bacterial small subunit ribosomal RNA", at positions 333 to 635 of the family's 1533-position model. The record is from RNAcentral.
UUGGUCCAACGGGGCGCAGCAGUGAGGAAUAUUGGUCAAUGGGCGCGAGCCUGAACCAGCCAAGUCGCGUGAGGGAUGACGGUCCUACGGAUUGUAAACCUCUUUUGCCGGGGAGCAGUGGUCCGGACGCGUCCGGACCGGGAGAGUACCCGGAGAAAAAGCAUCGGCUAACUCCGUGCCAGCAGCCGCGGUAAUACGGAGGAUGCGAGCGUUAUCCGGAUUUAUUGGGUUUAAAGGGUGCGUAGGCGGGCAUUUAAGCCGGCGGUCAAAUGUCGGGGGUCAACCCCGGCCUGCCGGCGGAACUG